ACGCUCGACACCUACGGGAGUCAGCAGUGGGGAAUAUUGCACAAUGGGGGAAACCCUGAUGCAGCGACGCCGCGUGGAGGAAGAAGGUCUUCGGAUUGUAAACUCCUGUUGUUGGGGAAAAAGAGGAUGGUACCCAACAAGGAAGUGACGGCUAACUACGUGCCAGCAGCCGACGGUAAUCUGAGGCGGGCUGGCGAAGGCNNA
RNAcentral lists this ribosomal RNA (204 nucleotides) under uncultured bacterium. Its description in RNAcentral is "partial 16S ribosomal RNA". It matches the Rfam family "Bacterial small subunit ribosomal RNA", at positions 328 to 540 of the family's 1533-position model. The record is from RNAcentral.